This 301-nucleotide ribosomal RNA is filed under the name uncultured bacterium. Its description in RNAcentral is "partial 16S ribosomal RNA". It matches the Rfam family "Bacterial small subunit ribosomal RNA", at positions 509 to 809 of the family's 1533-position model. The record is from RNAcentral.
CAGUAGCCACGGGAAUACGUAGGGCGCAAGCGUUGUCCGGAAUUAUUGGGCGUAAAGAGCUCGUAGGCGGUCUGUCGCGUCUGGUGUGAAAUCCCGAGGCUCAACCUCGGGCUUGCAUCGGGUACGGGCAGACUAGAGUGCGGUAGGGGAGACUGGAAUUCCUGGUGUAGCGGUGGAAUGCGCAGAUAUCAGGAGGAACACCGAUGGCGAAGGCAGGUCUCUGGGCCGCAACUGACGCUGAGGAGCGAAAGCAUGGGGAGCGAACAGGAUUAGAUACCCCAGUAGUCCCUGUCUCUUAUAA